This is an RNA transcript of Setaria italica (foxtail millet), 2351 nucleotides long. It is a transcript of the gene named D-xylose-proton symporter-like 3, chloroplastic, with no coding region annotated. The record is from RefSeq and is a predicted model, not a curated record. NCBI's taxonomy places the organism in Eukaryota, Viridiplantae, Streptophyta, Magnoliopsida, Poales, Poaceae. The transcript has 7 exons.
UGCCAUCUACCGUCUGUCUGUCUCUCUCUCUCUCUCUCGCCUCUCGGGGCGCCGCCGCUCGCUGGCGCCGCCACCCCGCGCCACCUUCACGCACCAGCAGACCGCCCUCACCGCCGCGAAUCACUGCCUGGCUGCGCUGGGGAAGAAGAAGAGGACAAGCACUCUCGGUCGGCCGGCCGGGCCACCAGAAAGCGGGUGCGCAGCCACGCGCGCGAGCCGGGCGCGCGACACCUGCGCGCAUUGGUGAUCACGGCGGCGGGCCGGGGCCUGGGAGGCGUCGCAGCCUGGUGCAGCUGCGACUGGGAGCGGCCGGGGCACGUGAGGGGAGCCGUCCCUGCCCGCGCGGUCAGCCGCUGGCCACGACCAACCCCAGUUGACGGGCAUGGAUCCACCUCCACGACGCUGACGUCACCGCGCUUCUCUCGCCGCCACCCUUCCUGGUGCGGACCCAUGCGCAAGGUGAGGGCGAUGCCGGGCGUGGCGCCGCCACGGAGGGGGACGCGGCCUUCUCGUGGGCACCCGUCAUACUCUGCCUUGCAGUACUGAUAGAUCACUGUUCGGAACCUAGGUUCUUGUUCCCUGCAUUGGGCGGUCUCCUUUUUGGCUAUGACAUUGGUGCAACCUCUGGAGCAACAAUCUCUGUACAAUCUGCUGAUCUCAGUGGCACCACUUGGUUCAACCGGUCAUCUGUGCAACUAGGCCUUGUGGCAAGUGGUUCACUUUAUGGAGCUCUUGGUGGCUCUAUUCUCGCACACCGCAUUGCAGAUUUUCUAGGAAGGAGAAUAGAAUUGGUCACCGCAGCUGCACUAUAUAUUCUUGGUGCUUUGGUCACUGGAUUUGCCCCUAAUUUUGUAGGUCUAAUCAUAGGUCGUAUCCUUUAUGGGAUUGGUAUUGGUUUGGUGAGUACCUGCAGGCACAAAUCUUCUUCCUCCCUAAGAUGAUCCCAUGUUACUGUUGUUAAACAAAAUCUAAUUUACGAAUGCAUAUAAAAAAGAUUUUCUGGGGAUGAUAAGUACAUUCACUCAAGCUGAGUAACCUGACAAAAUUGUUAUAAACUUAUAAUGUCAUGAUGUCUCAUUAUAGUUUUCUGAUAUGCUAAUCAUUUACUGAAGUGUGAAGUAGCAAAACUAAUUGAUGUUACUAUAGCUUGAUGAUCAUGUUCUGAUAUAACUAAUUAUGGAAUAAGUAGAUAUAAAACAUUCCUGCACUUGAUUAUUCUGAUAUUCCAAUGAUGGGGUAGUGAACAUAUUCACUGGUACGCCGCAAAAUCAAGCUGGUUGUAUUGCUAAGAUAUUUAAUAUAAUUUUCUUCUUUAAUUUCUGGGGUGGUUACAUUGCGUGUAGCACUUUACCCAAGCCUUUUUGACACCAACUUUCAACAUCCACAAGCAUCAAAAUUUCCAUGGUUCCAUGCUUUGUUAAAAUGGGAUUAGUAGCAAUUGAAGAUCAUUACAGUUGCAAAGGAGCAUAUGAAUAUUUAGCUAGGGGUUUGGGAGAGUUUAUAGACCAAUACUGUCCUAAAACAUUUGGUGUUAUGCCACUGAACCAUUAUGGUGCUAUGUGCCACGCAAUGCAUGGUGCCCCACUUUAUAUUGCAGAGACUUCUCCUCCGCAAAUACGUGGAACAUUGAUAUCUUUGAAGGAGCUGUUUAUUGCGUUAGGAAUACUGGUUGUCGUUUGAAAACCACAAACUGCAAAUGAAGGUUGCUGCAACAUUAUAUUAAUGUGCAGUGAGGUGUUGUCUGUUGUACUAUGAGAAGUGUAGCUGCACUUCAAUUAGUUUCGCCAGUCGACUUAAGAUGAUGAAUCUGUACUUAUCUAACACUCACUCACUAUGAGGUGAUGUUCUAAUACUAUGCUUGUAGCUAACAUUUUUUACCUAAUGUUCUCAAGUGGUACUGAUCAAGUGUAGCUACAUAUGUUGCUUGUCUGAUAAAAAAAGUAGCAACCUGUUCAUAUAGAAUGUUUUUGAGAAUAGUCAAUAUUUUAGGUUGUAUAGAUACAGCUGCAAUGAAACCUUCUCAGUGAUACAUUCUUUGACCUAACCUAGGUCAGGGUUGGGCACUUCAAAUAGAACUCUCAUUUGAUGUGCAUGUGUAUAUAUAAAAAGGUUUGAUGAAUCAGCGCUAGCUUCCUGCGUUAACAUAUUCUGGCCAGUGGUGUGUAAGUCUUUGACACCUCUCAGAUACUAUUGUUGUUUUCCCCCUUACAUUAGAAAGCAUGCUAGGAUUUAGUACCUGAGAGGUGAAAGUAAGUUCUUUGACACCUCUCAGAUUCUGCGUUGCUUGGAUGUGAAAGUAAAUUGACUAUAUUCAAACUUGAUGUAUGAUGGAACUCUUGUUCCCGUUUUAA